GUUAUAUGGUCAAGUGAAGAAGCGCAUACGGUGGAUGCCUUGGCAGUCAGAGGCGAUGAAAGACGUGGUAGCCUGCGAAAAGCUUCGGGGAGUCGGCAAACAGACUUUGAUCCGGAGAUGUCUGAAUGGGGGAACCCACCUAACAUAAGUUAGGUAUCUUAAGCUGAAUACAUAGGCUUAAGAAGCGAACCAGGGGAACUGAAACAUCUAAGUACCCUGAGGAAAAGAAAUCAACCGAGAUUCCCUUAGUAGUGGCGAGCGAACGGGGACCAGCCCUUAAGCUGUAUUGAUGUUAGCGGAACGCUCUGGAAAGUGCGGCCAUAGUGGGUGAUAGCCCUGUACGCGAAAACAUCUUUACAGUGAAAUCGAGUAGGACGGAGCACGAGAAACUUUGUCUGAAUAUGGGGGGACCAUCCUCCAAGGCUAAAUACUAC
RNAcentral lists this ribosomal RNA (434 nucleotides) under Pseudomonas sp. FSL R10-2172. RNAcentral's name for it is "partial 23S ribosomal RNA". It matches the Rfam family "Bacterial large subunit ribosomal RNA", at positions 1 to 476 of the family's 2925-position model. Lineage: Bacteria; Pseudomonadati; Pseudomonadota; Gammaproteobacteria; Pseudomonadales; Pseudomonadaceae. RNAcentral also lists the same sequence under 3 other names. The record is from RNAcentral.